This is a long non-coding RNA of Bubalus bubalis (water buffalo), 1324 nucleotides long. RefSeq lists it as uncharacterized. Lineage: Eukaryota; Metazoa; Chordata; Mammalia; Artiodactyla; Bovidae. The transcript is spliced from 3 exons. The record is from RefSeq and is a predicted model, not a curated record.
CGGCCUGAAACUGGUGAUGUCAAGCCAAGUUCUGUCUCUGGUCGAAAGUAAAUACAAGUAUUUCCGGGGAGCUGCAGGUGUGCGCCCGCACACUCAAAGCCCUGAUGCCUGCGCUCUCACCGCAGUGUCUCCGCACUGGUCCUCUCGCCACAGCCGGAGCACCCCAAGGCGGGCCGGAGAGAGGCUGGAUUGAAUCGGAAAGCGAGCGGUAGGAGAAAGGGAGUUAAUAACGCCCUUCUCCAGAAGAUGAAACAGGUCGGAAAGGUUCAAGGACCUUGUGGAGGUCACACAACUAGAGGCAGUUCCUUGGCUGAUAGAUAUAACACCAAACCCUCGUUAUUGCCAGCACUGCGCAAUGCCCGAGACCUUGGAUGAGGCCUGACCCUCUCUAAGCCUCAGUUUCCACGUUUCAAAAUGCAACCAACAUCAGUACCUGUCUUAUAGCGAUAAACAAGGACAAAAUAGGACUUGGGAAGAAAACCGAAAGUGCGCUGAGUUUGUGUCGGGGCACAGGACUGUCAUGGCUCUUGACGUCUCUGGUCCCCAAGGGCUUUUGGCUGGCUGGAAAGUAGCUCUAGAUCCUUGUAGUAAUUGCCAAAUCUCAUGAGGCUGUCCCAAGGCUAAUUUACUAGCUUUCACAGGGUAAGUCAACAGUGUGCAACUUACGAGUCCCCAGGGCCACCCAAAGAGUGGAGCGGGAGAGUGCCCUAGAUGGACUAGGAGAAGCACAAAGGAAAGCUAACUCUUUUGGUAGAUUCCACCGCUGUUUUUAACCUCCAGAAACAAUCAUUUCAUAUGGUUUGACUUAAUAUUUAAUCCUCCUGACCUCCCAGUGAAGCACUCUUACUCCCAUUAAGCAAAUGAGAAUUAGAUUUGGUCAAGUUCACCAGUAAAGCUAGUUCACCAGUAAAACCUAGAAUUUGAACCCAGCUCUCUGUGGACUCUGAAGAGAUGGUUUUUCUCAUAGUUUUCUGUUAAGUUGAUGGAGACCUACCAAGGGGCCAAAGAAAAUGUGAUCAAAACCUUCUUGAUGUCACAAAAUCUCUAGGAACUUGUAGGGAAAGAGUCUGAGUGCCCUCAUCCAUGACACUCCUGGGUCUCCUAUCCUGGCAAUCCAGCUAAUUGCCAUGUGGUUGAAUAUGGGCCCUGAAUACAGAUAACUUGCUCUGCCAUUUACUGGACUGGAGAUCUGUAAUUCUUCCGUCAGCAAAGCUUUUUUCAUCUAUAUGUCAGGUGCUAUGAAGAUCUAAUGAUGAACAGGACAAAAAAGAUGAUAUCACCCUUAUGGCAGAAAGCGAAGAGGAACUAAAGAGCCUCUUGAUGA